UACGUAGGGGGCAAGCGUUGUCCGGAAUUAUUGGGCGUAAAGCGCGCGCAGGCGGCCUUGUAAGUCUGUCGUUUAAACUCGGAGCUCAACUUCGAGUCGCGAUGGAAACUGCAAAGCUUGAGUGCAGAAGAGGAAAGUGGAAUUCCACGAUGUAGCGGUGAAAUGCGUAGAGAUGUGGAGGAACACCAGUGGCGAAGGCGACUUUCUGGGCUGUAACUGACGCUGAGGCGCGAAGGCCAGGGGAGCAAACGGG
This 253-nucleotide ribosomal RNA is filed under the name uncultured bacterium. RNAcentral's name for it is "partial 16S ribosomal RNA". It matches the Rfam family "Bacterial small subunit ribosomal RNA", at positions 524 to 776 of the family's 1533-position model. The record is from RNAcentral.